RNAcentral lists this long non-coding RNA (9389 nucleotides) under Triticum aestivum (bread wheat). RNAcentral's name for it is "long non-coding RNA (TAES_LNC007299)". The stretch from base 7240 to 7364 matches the Rfam family "MIR1120/MIR1122 microRNA precursor family". The record is from RNAcentral. Lineage: Eukaryota; Viridiplantae; Streptophyta; Magnoliopsida; Poales; Poaceae.
UACAGGUUUUUCCAUGCCACGCUAUUUGUUGUCCACGUAACGCGACCUAAAAGGUUGUUCCCCUCAUCUCUCAUCUCUCCACGCCUCACGACCUACCUAAAGGCGAGGGCGCCGCCGCCGCAACCCCGACCGGAGAUGCUCCAGCGUUUUGACGCGCACGGCCGUCCCCCGCCGGCAUCUGCGCCCCGUACGCCGGCAUGCUUCGGGAUUUCCCGGCUUGCGUCGCCUGUGGAUCGAGGAGCGGGAGGCCCGGAGCGCCUGUCAUCCUUCAGAAAUUCCCCAUGGCAGAGACGGUGCGAUGGUAGCUGACUUAUAUGGUCGGCCUCUGUCGAUGUGUAACGGCAAACUGGUCCGGUGAGUUGAUCUGACUGAUGGGAAGUACGGUGCAUCGCCGCCCUGCUCCGGUAAAUGUUCUAUGUAGACUCCAGGCAGGCAGUAUAGUUCUCGUAGAUCUGUUCGAGGAGCAUCCCUCUAUGGCGUUGACCGCCACAGAUCUGAAGGUACCGGUGGGCGACUCAGAUCUGCAAGGAGACGUGCGGACCUCCAUUACUAGACCCACGGCAAGUGUCUGAUGCAUGCUAUCGGCGAUGUGAUUCAGCGAUGUAAUUUUGUGCUAAUGAUGCGGCUGCGGUGGCACGUUGGCCCGGAUCUAGCUUUCUCAUGUACCCAUCCCUGCCUGGUGCAAUUGUUAGUGAUGCCGCUGCAAAGCCCGGCCUAGAUCUGUUAUAAUAUAUGUUGGUCUUUGCUGAUGAAGGCAGGAGUCUGCUCAGAUGCGUGAUACAGGAGGAUGACCUCGGCUUGCAAGUUUGUUUGGUGUGCAUUGGUUGUAGUUAUACUGCCUCGAGGGCCUUGGAAGCACCAGGAUGAUGCGAUGGUUGCCAGAGGAGAUCAAUUGCUUCACUUGAAGGUUGGGCAGGCCGUUGAUAAAACAGCACCAAGUUAAGUUGAAUGUUUUGUCGAUAAGUCAAGUUACUAAUUGAUUAUUAUGUCUGACGACUUAAACUUGUCUGUGACGGCUGUUCAGGUAAUUAGUUGAAUUAUGUACAUUGUGCUGCUAGCCGUUGUACAAUAAUUAUUGGGAGUUAUAAUGUGUACCAUUGAAAUUUUGUUGUAUCUGCUAUACAUGUCUAUUAUUUCAAAAUAAGCUUUUCAUAUUCAUGAUAUGCAAUUGUAAUAUUUAUCAUGGAAAUUUUUGGUGUGCACUGUUUGAUUAAACGGUGGCUUAGAAAUUUAUACAACUAGCAAAUUUAACACAGAACAAUAUUGCUAUCAUACAAUUGUAGUAUUUUAUAUGAGUAGCUAUUGAGCUAGUCAUGGACACGAGUGCGUGGAAGUUAGCUAUCCAAGUGCUAGAACCAUGAGUUGGUUUCGAGACCUUAUGCGUUUCAGCUCUACCCUACACCAACUUGUACUAAAGGCUCUGUUGUUGUUGUUACACAAUCAUCAUAAUUUCUAUGUGUGCAGCCACUAGAUAGUUAUUAUGUGAAAUUUCUAGUGUAUAUCAUUGCAAAUUUAGUUGUACUUGCUAUCGAUGUCUAUAGUUCUAUAUUGAUGAGAAAAAUGUUGUACCGAUUCAUAAUAUGCAAUUCAAAAUCUCAUCAUCGAAAAUUUUGUAUACAUCAUUUGCCAAAAUGAUGGCUUGAACAUGGUUACUUGUUAUUCAUGUAACUAGCAGAAUUAACCACAAAACUAUACUGCUGUUGUACAAGAUAAUGAUUGUGCAGUUAUCAUACAUUUACCGUUGAUUUUCUAUGGUAUUGAUUUUUUUUGCGUUAUGUCUAUACAAUUAGUUGUACACAAUUAAUUUUUCUAUACCAGUACGUAUGAAUUAUCUUUCUAUACUAGUAAUGCCUAGGACCACCUCCUACCACUAAUUUUUUAAUCGGUUGAGCAAUAGUACUCCAUUAUACGUCCCUAUUUCUAUAAUUGAUUUGUUCAUCUGAGAACUUUAUUCUGCAGGUACGCAUCGGACUCGAUGCCCUUUAUCCCUGCGUAACAUACAAUUGAAGGUAUGCUCAAUGGCCUUGUUGAAUUCCUUGGCAUGCUACUUAUGUUACUUUAUGCUGAAUUAUAAAAAAAUGCACGUUGGCUGUUCUCUUGGUACACCAAAUAGCCUUUGUAAUCUCAUCCAAUAUCCCUCUACAAAUAUAGGUAUGGGUUUAAUUGUAGCUAUGGUUUUUUACUCACACAACCUAAGCUAUUAGUUUUGUGGAGCAUAUGCUCGUAUAUGGUGUUGCUUCGAAAAUAAGGCUAUGUAUAUGACACAACACACCAUAAUUUCUCCUGCAUCAAAUGAGCUACACUUCAGAGCCAAAUCAUCUGCAUGCAUUAGACGCACCUUCUUCAUCACCUCCAAUAUUUUGCGCACACUCAUAUCAGCAACAAGUAUCAGCAACAUCCGUGAGUACUCGUGGACAUGGGUUUUGAGGUGGAGAGUGCAUAUUAAGAGAUGUGAGGUGCUAGGAAUGCUGAAAGUUUGGGACCGCGGUGCUUGGAUGCAUGCGACACAAGGGGGCAUGGGAGCAUUGGCGGUCGAGCAACGGGGUUGGGCCAGGUAACGACGCAGGGGAUUUAUAACCAUGGCGUUUGGGGAUGGCUAUUUGGGGGGAGGGGGGGAGGAUCAAGUACCAUUUCUUUUCCCUUGGUGCUAGGGCUAUGGGACUCAGACCCAAAGGAUUAGUGGAUUGGGUUUGGUAGGAUAGUUGCCAGCUAUAACAAUAAAAAAUCGGAUAUUUUUGGAUACGUCUGGGUAGUAGGGAAACCAUGUCUAUAUCCAUAUCCAAUGACUAAUGUCAUCUGACUGUGCCUGAAAUUUCAUUUCAAACUCCUCCAUUUGGUUGGAAAAUGUGUACUAUCUUCAACCUUACCCACAUACUUUGGCAUUUAUCUUUUGGGACUGGCUAGGGGUCGAUUUUUUUGAAACGUCCGACGUGAAUCCAAUGGCUAGAUGGCCUUGUUCGACCUCCCGAUCUCAUCCACCAGUUGAACCGCUUGGCUGGCAAGCGCACAUGUACCAGCCUUGCCACCCCAUCCCCCCCUCACUGUCGCCGCUCGGCCAUCCCUCUAAACUGGCGAACCACCAAAAUUUUCUAGCAAGCCUACACCUUGAACCGUCUGUUUUGGGCUCGCAACGGCUCAUUCCUUGCCAAGGCCGCCCUUGCCGGCGUACCUGGACCUUGCUUUGCUCGCGACGGCGCCACCGACCUAGUUGGCGGCCUUGGUGCUCCGCGUGCCUCCUUCGUUCCCAAUGCAAAUCGACUGACCCAAAUUUGAAAUUUAGGCAGCCUACUUCUAGCAAAAUUGUUAAAAUCAAUUUUAUACUAAAAUUUGUUUGAAUAUAAUAAGUGCACAUGAUUGAGAAUUUCUAAUUAUGAAACAUUUCUACCUCUGCACUCACGUAAUAUCUAUCCUAAGGAUAUCCUAUUGUUCCAUAUUUUUUUUAGUAUAAAAUAAUGGUUAGUUGUCAAAUGCUCCCUCCGUUCCUAAAUAUAAGUCUUUUUAGAGAUUCCACUGCGGACUACAUACGGAUGUAUAUAGACAUAUUCUAGAGCAUAGAUUCACUCACCAGCUCCUGCAACUCUAGAAUUUGUCACUCCACAAGCAGGUGAUGAUGAUCGACUUGAUGCUAGGUGAUUGGAGAAGAACCACCUCCUUGACUCGUGUUGUGCAACCUCGAUGUCGAGUUACAGUCCUCUAGCACAGGGGAGCUGGGCUUCUUCGCAGAAUCUGAGAGAGAAGGCGUGGCAAAUAGCCAUGUGCGAGGGAAGUGGACGCGGUGGAACAAAACAAGACAUGGGAUCUCGUCGAUCUACCACAUGGCCGUCGACCAAUAGACCUCAAAUGGGUCGAUAAAUUGAAGAAAAAUGAAGGUACAAAGCAUGACCGGUCGACUGAGGUUUUGUCCCGUAGGCCGGCAUUGACUUUGAGGAUGUCUUUGCGCUUAUCGUUGACGUGGAAUGCACUUGGCUGUUGGCCUAUCACUCACAUGGAAUCCACUCCGGCUAUUGCUUGCUUUGGCUGCCUAGGAGGUGUGGCUCUUACCACCACAUGGACCUUAAAUCAGCCUUCUCAAUGGAGAAUUAGAGGCAGAGGUUUAUGUGAACCAGCCACCUGGCUUCAUUGUCGCUGAAGAAUAAAGAAGUUUCGUGGCUACGUAAGGCCCUCUAUGGCCUAUGGGAGGCUAUGUUUUCAAGGCGUCCAGGCGCUUUAAGGCGCUGGGGGGGCGCCUCAACGCCUAGGCGCUCAAAGCGUGAGGCGAGGCGACGCCUUAGACACUUAUUAUUAGGCGCUAGGGGUACUAAUAUGGCAGCCAUGAGUGGACAUGUAACUGAUUCAUACCUUGAAUUUCCUGGUUGUUGAGCCCACAUAGCAUCCAUUCCUCCCAUCUUGUUUCCCAUUUCUGCCUUCCACAAUAGAAAUCUGCAUAAAGAUGAACAUAUAUCAUAUAUGGUUAAAACUAAACUUAAUUAAUAGAUCACCAUUGGUAAAAAAACAGAGUAGAUGACAGAGCAAGUGCAAAACAAGAUGACAAACAUGAGUGCAUUACAUAUUACAUAAACUUGGCCGGAGAGGGGGAUGGCCGGCGGAGAUGGAUCUUGGCCGGAGAGGGGAAGGGCCUGCGGAGGAGGAGCUUGGCCGGACAGGGGGAGGCCGGCGGAGGAGGAACGGAUCUGGGCCGGCGGCGUGAGAGACUGAGAGGAGAGAGCUCCUCUCUCUUUUCCCCUCGAUUUGGAGUCACAGGUGUGUUCCCCUCUCUCUCCUGCCUCUGUUUACCCCCUCUCUCCCGCCCAAUUUCUCUUCCCUCCCGCCAAUUCCUCUUUCUGGCGCGCGCCAGCUGCUGGUUCCCGCUCAACCUGCCCGCGCAUGUCCAGGGCGUCCAAAAUCAAGCAAAGCGGCGCCUUGGACGCCUAGGCGACGCCUUGGACGCCUCAACAGCACAAGGCGGACGCCUUAGACAAAAAACUAAAGCGACGGCGACGCCUUGACGUUCGCGAGCGCUCUGACGCCUAGGCGUCGCCUAGGCGACGCCUAGGCGACGCCUUGAAAACAUAGCUGGGAGGCACCGUGAGCUUUGAACGCGGCGCUUGACUGCAUGCUUAAGGGCAUUUGCUUCAAAUAGAGGGCGUCAGCACGUGAUCUACCAGCGCAUCUUUGGUGGUGAAAUUCAAUCAUUGUAGGCUAUGUAGAUGAUCUGAUCAUCUCUAAUUCGCCCAAACGAGGACUUGAGAGCUUCAUGCAUGAGAUGGAAUCAAAAUGCUAGGUGAGUGACCUUUGCCUACAAACAACAACAACAACAACAAAGCCAUAAGAUGGGGUAGGCUAGAGUUGAAACCCAUAAGAUCUCGCAACCAACUCAUGGCUCUGGCACAUGGAUAGCAAGCUUCCAUGCACAUCCUUCACCUUGGAGAAAUGAUGGUUGCAAUCUUGCUCACACUCCAAUGGAGCAGCCUUAUGUUGUCCAGCACAGACAACAAAAGAGUUGGACACUACGAAGUACCGGUGGAUUGUUAGCUAUCUUGUCCACACAUGGCCAGACCUAGCCUUUGUUGGGUUCGAGGGUUCGUCAGUCGAUUCAUGAAGCGGCUCAUAGGGAGCACAUGAUGGCAGCGAAGUGAAUCUUUCGCUAUGUCAUGGGCAUGAUCUACUAUGGUUCACGCUAUAACCGGAAGACAAAGGAGGCACGACUAAUUGGUUACUGUGACAGUGACCUCGCCGGUGGCAUUGAUACCAAAGAGCACUAGUGUUAAAUUGUUCUUCCUCGGCAACUGCUUGGAGUUGGCAAUCUCUCAAAGCUUGCACAUUCUUCCUGUGAGUCAGAGGCAGAGGCAGAGUAUGUGGCAGCCACAACUGCUGCAGUGCAGAGGAUUUUGCUUGGAGAAAUCUGCCCUGGCUUUAGCCAAAAAUCCAGUCUCCCAUGAGCGCAUCAAACAUGUUGAUCUUCGAUUCCACUUCUUUAGAUGGAAGCAUCAGCCCCAGCCACAUCAAUACUUCAGACCAACUCGCUUACAUUUUGACAAAGUUGCCAGGGCUAGUAAAGUUUCAAGAGCUGCGUGCCAAUUUUGGAUACUCAAGUAGAUACACAAGGAUUACUGAAAAAGGCUUUCGCCCCGCUUUAUAUAUAAAGCAAAGAUCAACCAUGGUCCAAGUACAAACGCACCCCACGACAACACACGCACACACCCAGGGUGGGAUACAUAGGCGCUGAGCGCAGCAACACCACCCCUAACACUACAGGAGCAAUCGGGGUCCUCCACCAUGAACACGCCACCGCGAAGAGAUGGAGCCGCAUAUGAUGAACCGUGUGCAUCAAGGCAGCGCCUCCAAGAAGGUUAUGACGCCAAUGCGCCGCCACCACCCGACUCGGGGGUCAGAGUUUCCCUUGGAGCAACACGAUGACCGAUGGGCCGCCGCCAAAGGAGCCCAGCCGCCGUCGUGAAACAAUCCGAACCACCACCAUGAGCUACCACCACGCUGUGACAGCCCACAUCACCGCCGAGACCCCGAGGAGCAGCCCCGAGUCGCCUUGCAGCAGCUGCGGCACGCCGCCGAAGACGCAGCGCGCCCUGCGGCCAUGGACGUUCGACGCCCCUCCACCCCUAAAGGAGCAGCCUGGCUGCCCGCCACCCCGCCACCACCUUAGCCAGGCUGCCGCCACCACCCACACGCCUUUCGCCGCCAUCGCCCAGAUCUGGGAUGGGGGGGACCAGAUCUGCCGCCAGCGAGGCCCCCACCCCCCGGAGCCCCACGAGUCACCGCAGGGAGGGGGAGCAACACCAACGGGACGCUAGGCCGUCAAGGGGAGGAGGCAGGGCCCGGGGAGGGACCGACGCCGGCGCUGCGAAAGGUCGCGCCCCGCGAUGUACACCUCCAGCGCGCGGGAGAAAGAGGCCCCGCCGCCGCCUACGCCACGCGACCUUUGGCCGGCGACGCCACCGGCGGCGGCAAGGGGAGGGAGACCGGGGCGGGGUUCGAGAAGAGGCGGCGCUAGGGUUGGCUCCCGGAGUUGCCUGCUGGAGCGACUCGGGAGCGACUCACGCGAGAUCUAUCGAUACACAAGGAUUAGUGGGAGAAUGUUAGAAUAAUCCUUGUCCUGUAGUAUAGUAGUAUAGGCUGGUUAGUUUUCCUUAGUAAAGAUAAACUUGCUAUCCUGUAGCAAGCAAGUCAUCGUCGUUAGCACCAGGCUGUCACUGUGCUGUCAGGUACAACCGUUAGUCUAUAACAGACCAUGUACCUCGUAUGUAUAUACUCCCUCCGUCCGGAAAUACUUGUCGAAGGAAUGAAUGCAUCUAGACAUAUUAUAGUUCUAGAUACAUCCAUUUUUAUCCAUUUCCGUGACAAGUAAUUCCGGACGGAGGGAGUACAUCUAUGCAGCAUGAACUGCAGUGCCUUUCAGCAGCCUAAAAAUAGAGUCCAAAAUAAGAAACUGUGCUCUUGCUACUAACACACAUUGUGACUUUCAGUAGACCACCAUCAAUUUUUGUCGCACAAGUGUACACCAGUUUCAAGGGAUGAUCUGACGUAUCAUGAAUAGCAUACAAAUUAAUAUCAUAGGAAUGCUGGAAUCACAAGUAUAGUAUCACACCAUUCAAUUCCAUAAUAUCAUCACAUUGGCCCAGAGGUUUCAUCUUUUUUAUUAUCGUAUAAUAAAUGCAACCAGAUCCAAAAUUAACAUUAAUUAUUUGGAUGAACAUCACAACUCACCGCAAGAACACAUGAUGACCAGUAGUUCACUAUGGCCAAGACUCUUUACCUGAUUAAGAUGCCCUUUACCCUCUAAACUAUGUUCUACCUUACCAUUAAGCUUCACUAAACUAAUGGCUGUCAAACUUGCUGUAAACUUGGACCCGAGGGCCACAGUCAAGGCUUGAUGAUGACAACAGUACCACACCUUAGAGACAAGGAGAAAUGAUAGCUAGAGAUCUGAUAUUUAUCCUAUUAUCUGCUUUAUUCCUCUAUAGGCUGUCUUUAUACAGAGGUCUGAGUGGCUAACAAUGCCAAAGUACUGAAUUGAUGGUGCUACCAGCAUGCUUCUGGUCAACUAAAAUUUUCAAUUACGUGAACUGGCACGUGUUCAUCAAGGUUAGCAUGACAGGUUUCCGUUCACCGGGCUAUUUGCUCGCAUAGAAGGUGGAGCUACUGAACCCUCAUAGAAGCACUAAGAAGCUUACUAAGGAUGCGGAUAAAAUCUCAACGGAGUACGUUCAUAGAAGCACUACGAAGCUUACUAAGGAUGCUGCCUUUAUCCUAACUAUGGGUUGCUGCCCUUGCUACAUACAUCCCUGCCACAACAUAUUGGUCUUGCAUGUCUAGUAUUGGUCUGGGUCAGGUUGGGAUGAUCGUAUGGGCAUCUCUGCCAUAUGAAACAAAUACUCCUUCUGUUCACAAAUAUAAGGUGGUUUGGAUAUUUCUAUAUGGGUUACAUACGGACUGAAAUCAGUGAACAAACACACUAAAACUUGUCUAUAUACAUCCGAUUCAGAAACAAGUUAGAACAUCUUAUAUUUGUGAACAGAGGGAGAUGCAAGUAGUGGGCUGUCACUUCCAGUUUGGGUCAGGUUGGGAUGGUGGUAUGGAUAAAACAAUUAAGUUGGUUGACAGGAAGGCCCAACUAGGUCCUAUGUAUAGUGUGCUGUAUAGUGCAGCGUACGGAUCAACCACAACUUGUUUCUACCCUGGGAAUCCUUCAUUUUAUUUUUGCAUGCUGAUGCAUAUGCAAUUCUUUGGUGCUAUCAAUCCCUGAAACCACGAGCAUAACAAAAGAACUGAACAGUAACUUUGAAGUACUAGGUUUUAAAUUUUUCUUUGCUCGUAUCCCUACCGUCCAUUUUACCGUUCCCGUCACCUGCAACAAGAGGAUUCAAGCAAGUUAAUUAUGCUGCAGGGCCUGAAAAACUAGAGAUGGGAAGGAUUUCACAGAAGAAAUUCGAGACUUUCAAGAGUUUUUUUUUGAGGCAUUUCAUUAUUUAGAAAUGAUGUUAUUCAAGUGUUAACAUACACAUGUUCCAGGAUCUCAACAUACUGUUUGGGAGCAGAAAAUGAGUAAGCCAAACAUUAAAAAGUAUGCCUUUAAAUCGAGGAUAGGUUUAAUAUGUUUUGUUCAAAGUCAAGUCACUACUUUAUCUCCAGACCUAUAAACAAUAGGUCUCAAUUCGGGAGGAAGAACCGGUAUUGUGGUCAGCCCAUGGUAUGUGCUGCUGCAGUGUAAUCUAGGUGUAUUGGAUGAUAAAACAUGUAUAUGAAAUGUUUAAUUUUGCUCAUCUGCCUUAGUCCUAUGUUCUAGAAUGACAAUCUACACCCAAAGACAUGCCUGCUCAUAUUUAGACCAGUAGUAGUCCCUAUACUGCAACACUCUGCACUUUUCUUUUAUCCGUGUUUGCAGAAAAAAAAAC